Bufo bufo (common toad) is the source of this 3844-nucleotide RNA transcript. It is a transcript of the gene named carbohydrate sulfotransferase 14, with no coding region annotated. Lineage: Eukaryota; Metazoa; Chordata; Amphibia; Anura; Bufonidae. The transcript is spliced from 3 exons. The record is from RefSeq and is a predicted model, not a curated record.
GGUGACGGCCCCUCCGGCCACACAUUCCUAGCACGGGGGCGUUCACACAGGACGUCACGGUGACGCGCUUUCCGGAGCAGCUUGCUGCCGUGCGCCGGGAUGGAUCGCCCCGAAUAGCCGCCAUGUAUCCUCGCCCGCUCUACCAGAUGGCGGCAGAGAGCCCCCCGGGUCACCACCGAGCGCCCGCCGCCCUCCGCCGCGCCCACAGCACCCUGCUGCCGUCCAUGCUGAUGUUCGGGGUGAUCGUGGCGUCCAGCGGGCUGCUCCUGAUGAUAGAGCGGGGGAUCCUGGCCGAGGUGAAGACCCCUCCUCCCCGCGGGGACGUGGCGUGGCGGAGCCGCACCCGGGAGCUGGAGGCCGAGGAGCUGGAGCUGCAGAUCCUGCGGGACGUCCGGAACCGCACCACCAGCCGGGUGUGCGGGCACCAGAGCAUGCCUAUGCCCAGUGUGUGGGCGCUGCCGCCCGGCCAGAGGAGGACCCUGCUCAAGCACAUCAUCGUCAACGACAAGUACAAGUUCCUGUACUGCUACGUGCCCAAGGUGGCCUGCUCCAACUGGAAGAGGGUCCUGAAGGUGCUGGACGGCAGCCUGGAGAGCCUGGACUCCCGGCUGAAGAUGGACCACCAGAAGGACCUGGUCUUCUUGGCUGACCUGUCCGUCCAGCAGAUCAAGCAUCGCCUGCGCCAUUACUACAAGUUCCUGUUCGUGCGGGAGCCGCUGGAGCGCCUGCUGUCCGCCUACCGGAACAAGUUCGGGGAGAUCAAGGAGUACCAGCAGCGCUACGGCCUGGAGAUCGUCCGCCGCUACCGGCAGGACCCCGCCGCCGCCUCUUCCAAGGGGGAUGACGUCACCUUCUCAGAGUUCCUCCGGUACCUGCUGGACGAGGACGCGGAGAAGAUGAACGAGCACUGGAUGCCCAUCUACAACCUGUGCCAGCCCUGUGCCGUGCCCUACGACUUCAUAGGCAGCUAUGAGAGGCUGGGGGAGGACGCCAACCAGGUGCUGGAGGCCAUCGGUGCCCCCAGCUACAUCCGGUUCCCCGAGAGACAAGCCUGGUACAAGCCGGUCACCAAAGAGACCCUCCGUUACUUCCUGUGUAACACCCCGCAGGGGCUGCUCAGGGAGCUGCUGCCCAAGUACAUCAUGGACUACUCCUUAUUCGCCUAUACCCUGCCCAAUAUCACCAGUCAAUACUGCAGGCAGUAAGGCCUCGUGCCAUGCAGGCGGUAAUAUACCAGGCAGGUAGUAAGGUCUGAUACCAUGCAGGUAGUAAGGUCUGAUACCAUCAGGCAGUAAUGCCUCAUGCCCUGCAGGCAGUAAUAUACCAGGCAGGUAGUAAGGUCUGAUACCAUGCAGGCAGUAAUGCCUCAUGCCAUGCAGGUGGUAAUACGCAGGUAGUAAGGUCUGAUACCAUGCAGGCGGUAAUGUCUGAUGCCAUGCAGGUGGUAAUAUACCAGGCAGGUAGUAAGGUCUGAUACCAGGCAGGUAGUAAGGUCUGAUACCAUCAGGCAGUAAUGCCUCAUGCCCUGCAGGCAGUAAUAUACCAGGCAGGUAGUAAGGUCUGAUACCAUGCAGGCAGUAAUGCCUCAUGCCAUGCAGGUGGUAAUACGCAGGUAGUAAGGUCUGAUACCAUGCAGGCGGUAAUGUCUGAUGCCAUGCAGGCGGUAAUGUCUGAUACCACACAGGUAGUAAUGUCUUACACCAUGCAGGUAGUAAGGUCUCAUGCUACGCAGGCAGUAAUGUCUGGUACCACGCUGGCGGUAAUAUACCAUGCAGGGAGUAAUGUCUCUUACCAUGUAGGCAGUAAGGUCUUGAUGGUAAUAAGCUGAUAUACCAUGCUGACAGUGAGGCCAUAUUGAAUCCGGCAAUGCCAGAGAUGUGACUAGAUCACCACUUGAUCCCUAUUGACUAUAAUAGGAUCCAGCAGUGAUCUGGCCUCUUUUCAGCAUAAAAGCCGGGUUUUAAUUGGACAAUACUGAUGCACGCAGGGUUUUUAUUCUGGCCGACAUUCGGCAUUCAUGCCGGAUCAUCCCUAAAAGAGAUGUGAACACAGCCUACGGUCUUACACCAUGCAGAUGGUCAGGUCUCAUACAGUGCAGGUACUAAGGUCUCAUACAGUGCAGGUAUUACGGUCUUAUACUGUGCAGGAGGUCACUUUUUAUACCAUGUAGGUACUAAGUUCUUAUACCGUUCAGGAAGUCAGCUGUUAUACCGCGCAGGCGGUCCGCUCUUAUACCGCGCAGGCGGUCCGCUCUUAUACCGCGCAGGCGGUCCGCUCUUAUACCGCGCAGGCGGUCCGCUCUUAUACCAUGCAGGCGGUCAGCUCUUAUACCGCGCAGGCGGUCAGCUCUUAUACCGCGCAGGCGGUCAGCUCUUAUACCGCGCAGGCGGUCAGCUCUUAUACCGCGCAGGCGGUCAGCUCUUAUACCAUGCAGGCGGUCAGCUCUUAUACCAUGCAGGCGGUCAGCUCUUAUACCGCGCAGGCGGUCAGCUCUUAUACCAUGCAGGCGGUCAGCUCUUAUACCGUUCAGGAAGUCCGCUCUUAUACCGCGCAGGAAGUCCGCUCUUAUACCGCGCAGGCGGUCCGCUCUUAUACCGCGCAGGCGGUCAGCUCUUAUACCAUGCAGGCGGUCAGCUCUUAUACCGUUCAGGAGGUCCGCUCUUAUACCGCGCAGGCGGUCCGCUCUUAUACCGCGCAGGCGGUCCGCUCUUAUAUCGUGCAGCCAGUAAGCUCUUGCGGCUUUUUCUCCAGUCUCAGUAUUUGCUGCAGUUAUAUCCAUUGUCCUGUGUGUAGCAGUCAUACAUACAUUGUGCAUACGGCCAUACGGUUUGUCGUGUUACAGUGUAACCUUCCGUGUAUAUACGUCCUGUAUACUAGUAGGCAUCCUACUUCUUAUCUAUGCAAGAGGGAGCGCCGGGCACAUUGACCAGCAAUGGGGCUAGGAGCAACGUGUCACAUGAUAAACAUCCUUCAGACCGUAAUGUUAGAAAACGCUGAACAAGACCCAUCCCUUUAUAGCGGGGUCUCCGCGUUCAGGUCUUUGGACGCAUGUCCUCUCUCACAGCCAUGUCUGACUGCACCAGUAUGUUGGGGUUCCACAGGUUGUAGGACUACCUUAUUAUACGUUGACUAUUUAUUACCUGUGUAAUGCCCUCUCCUGGUGGUGUGUGUCCAUGAAUGUUGUUCUGUCCACAGAUGGUCGGGGUAAACCACCCCUAUAGACCAGUGUUCCUCAACUCCAGUCCUCAGGGUCCAUCAUGAUUUGAGUAUAUCUCACAGAAUGAUGCAUAGUCAAUAAUUACCACCUGCUCAACACUGUGGAAAUCCUGAAAACAUGACUGAUGGUUGGCCCUUGAGGACUGGAGUAGAGGACCACUGCUCUAGAGGAUGUCCACACAGGACUUAAAGGGACUUUGGGUUAGGUGCUUACCUGCUUCCCGGUGCUUUCUCUCCUCUCCCGUGUUUAGCCGCAGCGGUGACCUGCUACUUUUGCGCCGUGUGACCAUUUGACAUGAAGCAAGGGGAGCGGGUCACCUCUGCGGGCAACAAUUGGCUGCAGCAGUAUCAAACUGGAACUUGACAGGUGGAGCGGAGAGCCAGCACCGGUAGGCCGGUAAGCAGAUUUCCUAUCUCAGGUCUGUCCAAGAGGGACAAGGGUUUGCCACAGACUAACGAACCACAGGGACCCCCACAGAUCACAACACCUAGGGGGGUCCAUCUCCCACAUUUGUAUGGAGCAGCGGUCAAGCAUGUACAGUGCUGCUUGGUUCGGGACUGGCCAAGAGAAGCUGACCCUAUUCUUGUGAUCAUUGGGGGUUCCAGAGGUCAGAUCCCCACUGAUCAG